GCUAUGGUCCUACAACUACUACUUGCACACUUCAAAGAGAAAUUAGAUGGUCUUAUCCUUCAGACAGAUGAAUUCGCAACACCUUCAGAUGUCCAGCAAUCUGUACCUUUGCCAGAGAGUCCACGCCUUAUAAUUCUUGGUCAGUCUCUAAGCAACCAGCGGUGGAUGUUGAGCGUGGAAGGGCAGGUUGUGUGUGAAGGAGAGCAGCCCAACAUUGUAUCUGGUCU
Molecule: long non-coding RNA, 227 nt
Organism: Sinocyclocheilus anshuiensis
Lineage: Eukaryota; Metazoa; Chordata; Actinopteri; Cypriniformes; Cyprinidae
Exons: 3
Source: RefSeq, a predicted model, not a curated record